AUAAAACUUACGGACAACUAAUCCGCAUCUUCUGAAUGCAACCCAGACACUUUAAUUAAGCUAAAGUUUUUA
This 72-nucleotide transfer RNA is filed under the name Anolis laeviventris. Its description in RNAcentral is "tRNA-Ala". The record is from RNAcentral. Lineage: Eukaryota; Metazoa; Chordata; Lepidosauria; Squamata; Anolidae.